UUUGUUUUCAUUUUGUUACACUCAUCUAGCUAAUUAAUCUUACCACUUAGGCUCAUCGUGUGAACGAAAGAACUUUGUGGAAUUCGAUCCUUAAGUACUAUCAACGAUCUCUUAUUUGAGAGAGUGGUCUUAGGGUAAUUUGACCUGCAUCAACAGUAGUUGAGGCUUACGAAGUGUAUAAUGGAUUUUCUUCACUACAUGGUGACGAGUUGGAGAUUCUCGAUAAUGAUGCUGCUUCGGUAUUCGAUGAUUUAGCCAAUUUUUGAGCCGAUCAGACACAAAUUGAACUCAGUACGACAUGUGCGGCUUUGUAUGUGGGGUGUGUUUCUAAGAACAGAAAAGUCAUACAACAAACAAUGUCUUUAUCUCGCAAUCAAACAAUACUUUUGCUAUAAGGUCAUGGCCUACAAGAUUGGAGAUAGUUUGCAUUGAUGAUACUUGUCCAUUACAUUUGACUGCUCAAGUCGUCAAGAACUCAGAAUGUUUCAAAAUCACAUAGUAUGAUACCACCCAUACGUGUGACAUCGACACUCGCAUGAAUUAUAAUAAAUAUGCUAGUUAUAAGUUUCUCGGAGAGGUAGUGAAGAGCAGAUAUAGUUCUACGCAAGGGGGUCCGAGAGCUGUUGAUUUACAACAGUUGCUCCUAAAUGAUCUCAAUGUUCGGAUUUCAUAUUCUACAGCUUGGAGAGCUAAAGAUGUUGUAGUGGAAAAUGUAAGGGGGGAUGAUAUAAAAAGUUACAGGUUUUUGCCUACCUAUUUGUAUCUUCUUAAAUUAGCUAAUCCAGGUACGAUAACUCACCUACACUCUACACAUGAAGCUGAUGGUAAACAUCACUUUAAAUAUGUAUUUGUAUCUCUUGGGGCUUGUAUAAACGGGGUGAAGUAUAUGAGGAAGGUAACUAUCGUAGAUGGAAAACAUCUAGUAGGACGUUACAAAGGUUGUCUCCUCAUUACAUGUGCCCAAGAUGGGAGGGAGAAUCUAGUUGAAGCAAGUACGGCCAAGUCAUGAAAUCGUCCAUCGCUAUGGCGUUGAUGUCCUUUGUGUUGACCAAGUUCCAGAGUGUCUCGAUAGGGGUCUGCUUCACAGAAAGGUAGUUCACGAGGAUGGUAACAGGGUUUGGCAAUUGUAUUCCAAGGUACAUUUUGGUUGGAGGAGUUGCUGGAAAAGGCAUGGUGCGUAUCAAGGAGGUAUACAGAUUUUGCUGGAGUUAAUGGAAGAGGUUUAAGAAUAAGUGAUGCUAAUAAAUAAGUGUGUGAGAUAUCGUUUUUAUAGGGGAGAACGAAAUGAAUGUAACUGGUAGGGCAUUUGUUUUUUUUUUGUCAUCAGCUUUUAAUUAGAACUCAAAAGAGCCAAUCUUGAGAAAAAUAGUUUACGUAUGUGACACGAAGCGGUUCGGUACAUUAAUUGGAAAUCGUGUACUUAGAGAGAUUUAUGUGACAAGACAGAGGUCAUAUCUAUGGCUAAAGCUUGAAAGUAUGUAAUUAAUAACAAAGCGAAGGCUCUGAAUGUAGAAAACAUAUUUGGUGGAGCGGAUCAGGUGUUUCAAACAGAAUUAAAGCGGAUCAAGCGGAUUAGGUGUUUCAAGCAGAAGUAAAGCGGAUCAAGCGGUUAGAAUGCGUCAAAAUAUGUAUUGAAUGGUAAAAACGGAUCAGACGGUGUAGAUGAAAUAAUUUAUUGUGAAAAAUAUUAAUUGCAAAUAAAGUAUAAUAUAUAAU
This 1716-nucleotide small RNA is filed under the name Arabidopsis thaliana (thale cress). Its description in RNAcentral is "ATSL197020". Lineage: Eukaryota; Viridiplantae; Streptophyta; Magnoliopsida; Brassicales; Brassicaceae. The record is from RNAcentral.